GGAGAUGGAGUAGAAUCAAACGAAAGAGGAUAAGAUGGAGAAUUUUAUGAGAGACUCCACCACAUAGAAAAGGGGUAAUGAAUAAAAUUAAAGCCUUGUGAAGUUCACAAGACAAUAAGAAAUUAAAUUCUCAGUAAUUAAGCACAUAGGGAACUAAAAGGUUAUGCAUUGGAAACAGGCAGGGUAAUCAAAUCUCCCCCGAAAUGAAAAGAUAAAUAAAUGGUUAGGAAGGAUUUAGUUAGUUAAUCAAAUCACCUUCACCAAAAAUGUCAAAGACACAUGAAGUUGGAUUAAUGACUGCAGUGUCUGCAGGAGGACAGGAUAGUACAGCUAAUUGUGUUGACAGAAUAUCCAAUUUGCCUGUCGAAAAUCGAAAUUAUCCGUCAUAUUCACUUCCUCCUUCCCAUCAGAGAUGCACAGAGAACCUGUGUUUUAUCCCAGAGAUGGCGAACCAUUUGGGCUUCUCGCCCUGAAAUUUAUUUUGACGAAGCGGAAUUAUGGGUCAAGUUUUGGACAUACAAUGAAGGAGAUACAGCAAGAAGAGAUGCCUUCUUAGCUUACAUGAAAAAUUCCUUGGACCACCGUGAGAAGUCUGAAUAUGGUGCUGAAGUUAACUCACUCUUUCUUCGUAUGACAGUUGAGAAUUCUUA
This 650-nucleotide long non-coding RNA is filed under the name Capsicum annuum. RNAcentral's name for it is "long non-coding RNA (CANN_LNC011943)". The record is from RNAcentral. Lineage: Eukaryota; Viridiplantae; Streptophyta; Magnoliopsida; Solanales; Solanaceae.